This 253-nucleotide ribosomal RNA is filed under the name uncultured bacterium. Its description in RNAcentral is "partial 16S ribosomal RNA". It matches the Rfam family "Bacterial small subunit ribosomal RNA", at positions 524 to 776 of the family's 1533-position model. The record is from RNAcentral.
UACGAAGGGGGCUAGCGUUGCUCGGAAUCACUGGGCGUAAAGGGUGCGUAGGCGGGUCUUUAAGUCCGGGGGGAAAUCCUGGAGCUCAACUCCAGAACUGCCUUUGAUACUGAAGAUCUUGAGUCCGGGAGAGGUGAGUGGAACUGCGAGUGUAGAGGUGAAAUUCGUAGAUAUUCGCAAGAACACCAGUGGCGAAGGCGGCUCACUGGCCCGGUACUGACGCUGAGGCACGAAAGCGUGGGGAGCAAACAGG